This 404-nucleotide ribosomal RNA is filed under the name uncultured bacterium. RNAcentral's name for it is "partial 16S ribosomal RNA". It matches the Rfam family "Bacterial small subunit ribosomal RNA", at positions 28 to 526 of the family's 1533-position model. The record is from RNAcentral.
GACGAACGCUGGCGGCGUGCUUAACACAUGCAAGUCGAGCGGAGCGGCGAACGGGUGAGUAACGCGUGAGUAACUGCCCCCCUCUAUGGGUAAACAGUUGGAAACGGCUGCUAAUACCGGAUAGUGGGGGAUGACUCGCGUCCUAUCAGCUUGUUGUUGGGGUAGUGGCCUACCAAGGGGACGCCGGGUAGCCGGCCUGAGAGGGCGACCGGCCACAUUGGUCUUAGAUACGGCCGAAACCCAUACGGGAGGCAGCAGUGGGGAAUAUUGCACAAUGGGGGAAACCCGGAUGCAGCAACGCGCGUGCGGGAUGACGGCCGUAUGGUUGUAAGCCGCUUUCAGCCAGGACGCGGUAGUGGCAGAAGAAGCGCCGGCGAACUACGUGCCAGCAGCCGCGGUAAUUC